GAAUCAUUGUUCUUGUCAGACGAUUAAGUAAAGUGUUUGUAUUUUAAGUUUGAAAUUAUUCUUGGUUAUUCAACAUUUUGUGAAUAAACAAUCAAUUAAGUUUGUUUUAUUGAUUAUUUUCCAUUCUUUAUUUGUUCAAUAUUUAUUUUAAAGUCUGUUACCAUUUGUCUUUUAUUGCUAUUUUGCUUUUUGUGGAGGCGUUCUUUAUUCAAUCUUCAUCAUGUUUUCCUUUACCUCUUUUGGCUUCUUUUCGUAUACACACACACACACCAUGUUAUGUAUAUACUGAAAAUUACUAAUUAAUGGCUUUUUCUUUUCUCUUUGCCUUCAUGGAAAUGGCCUUAACCAUGACUUUGCUGGUCAACUAAUCAUCUCACAAUAAAUAUUGAUGUCAACACUUGGAUAGAGCAAAAUGGAAACACAAAUGGCAACUGAAUAACUGUAAAUACGAGCAAGAGUAAACUCUUAACCUGAUUACUUUACAUUAUAUGGAUUUUUUUUAAAAAAAAAGCUCAACUGAAAGAAACGGAUGUCAUUGAUGAACAAAAACUGAGUAACUACAAAAUUUGUAAAGAAUAAAGCAAAGAAUAAGGAAAAGAUUUCUUCCUGGUGCAAAAUAGCAAAGAUUUUUCAUCAAAUGAUCAACAUGAAAGUAAAUAGAGGAAAGAAAAUUGAUCUCCAAAAUAAGGUAAAACAAAGAGACAGAGAAGAUGAAUUAUCGAUUCGUGAAACAUGAAAAGGUCGAGUAAUUAAGAAAAAGCUAGUCCAUAAUGAUGGAUCGGAAGUCAAUGAUCAACAAGGAAAAGAAGUGAAAACAAAGACAAAGCAAUUUGAUGCAUAAAUUUGGAUAUUUCCCAGUUAACAUACAAAGAAAUAUGUUCAAUUUUUACAUAAUACCCUGAUCACAGCAGUAUCUUAAGAUGAUGAUGAUGAUGAUCAUCAUCAUGAAAUCAUUUUGAGAAUGGAAAGGCAGGAAAUUAAGUAAUAUGGUUAAGGCCUAAUAUUUAUAUUUGAUAUGAAUGUGCAUGAAAAUGGAUGAACUGGAUAUUGACCAUGUAAAGCUAAAUGGACUCAAAGCCUUUAACAUUGAAGACUCACCAUGACCACCUCAACCAUCAUCAUAAUCAUCAUCGUCAUCAUCAUUUUUUUACAAAUGCAAUGAAUAAAAUGGAAAAGGGAAGAAACAAAAAAAGUAGAAAAAAAAGGAAACGGAAAAAAUUGACUAAUAUCCGGAUUUAUGAUUAGUCUUUGACUAUGAAAGGUAAUGAGAAUGGAAACUGAAAGUAAACAUGAAAACAAUUGGAUGGAAACAAGAUUCAACUCUACUUUUACCGUGUUAUUUCAUCGUCAUCACCAUUUUUUACUUUCACUUGUCUAUUUGAGGCAAUAAAUUUUGCACAAUACAAUGAUUGUUGAAGAAGAAGCAGAAAAAAAACAAUCGGAAAUACAAGCAAUUAAAAGGUGGAAAAAGGAGUUUAUUAUUUA
Tetranychus urticae (two-spotted spider mite) is the source of this 1485-nucleotide long non-coding RNA. RefSeq lists it as uncharacterized. The record is from RefSeq and is a predicted model, not a curated record. NCBI's taxonomy places the organism in Eukaryota, Metazoa, Arthropoda, Arachnida, Trombidiformes, Tetranychidae.